UCAUUAAAUCAGUUACAAUCUAUUGGAUAUUUAUAUCUACAUGGAUAACUGUGGUAAUUCUAGAGCUAAUACGUGCAAUAUGCCUUGACCUCACGGGAUAGGUGCACUUUAUUAGACCAAGACCAACGGGACCCUUCGGGGUUCCUUGCGAAUGGUAACUCUGGAUAACUAAGCUGAUCGUAUGGCCUCUGUGCCGGCGAUGAGUCCACAGAGUAACUGCCUUAUCAACUAGAUGGUAGGUUAAACGCCUACCAUGGUUGUUACGGGUAACGGGGAAUCAGGGUUCGAUUCCGGAGAGGGAGCCUGAGAAACGGCUACCACAUCCAAGGAAGGCAGCAGGCACGCAAAUUACCCACUCUUAGCUCGAGGAGGUAGGACGACCCGGUACGUGCCUAGGAGGCGGUGCCAGCAGCCGCGGUAAUUCCAGCUCCAAUAGCGUAUAUUAAAGUUGUUGCGGUUAAAAAGCUCGUAGUUGGAUCUCGACUCAUGUCAUGUGGUCCACCUUUCGGUGGUUACUGCUUGACUGAGUUACCUACGGAUUAGUCUUUUGAUUCUCUUAACCGAGUGUCUUAAGCGAUCCGUUCAUUUACUUUGAACAAAUUAGAGUGCUUCAAGCAGGCAUUCUGCCCGAAUAAUCUUGCAUGGAAUAAUAGAAUAGGACUUCGGUUCUAUUCUGUUGGUCUUCGGAUCCGAAGUAAUGAUUAAGAGGGACAGACGGGGGCAUUAGUAUUGCGGCGCUAGAGGUGAAAUUCUUGGACCGUCGCAAGACUAACAACAGCGAAAGCAUUUGCCAAGAAUGUUUUCAUUAAUCAAGAACGAAAGUUAGAGGUUCGAAGGCGAUCAGAUACCGCCCUAGUUCUAACCAUAAACGAUGCUAACCAGCGAUCAGCCUGAGUACUUUCAAGGACUCGGCUGGAAACUUUCCGGGAAACCAAAGUUUUUGGGUUCCGGGGGAAGUAUGGUUGCAAAACUGAAACUUAAAGGAAUUGACGGAAGGGCACCACCAGGAGUGGAGCCUGCGGCUUAAUUUGACUCAACACGGGGAAACUCACCCGGCCCGGACACUACGAGGAUUGACAGAUUGAGAGCUCUUUCUUGAUGCAGUGGGUGGUGGUGCAUGGCCGUUCUUAGUUGGUGGACCGAUUUGUCUGGUUAAUUCCGAUAACGAACGAGACUCUGACUUACUAAAUAGUACAUCAUCUCCUUCGGGCGAUGAUGAACUUCUUAGAGGGACAGGCGGCGUUUCAGCCGCACGAGAAAGAGCAAUAACAGGUCUGUGAUGCCCUUAGAUGUCCGGGGCCGCACGCGCGCUACACUGAAGAGUGCAGCGUGCGUGGGUUACCUGCUCUGAAAAGAGUGGGAAACCAUUGGAAAUCUCUUCGUACUUGGGAUAGGGCAUUGUAACUAUACCCUUGAACGAGGAAUUCCCAGUAAGCGUGAGUCAUCACCUAGCGUUGAUUACGUCCCUGCCCUUUGUACACACCGCCCGUCGCUACUACCGAUUGAAUGAUUUAGUGAGGUCUUCGGAUUAGAUAUUGGAGUUCUCCUGGAGAGCCCCAAUAUUUGAGAAGAUGACCAAACUUGAUCAUUU
Molecule: ribosomal RNA, 1591 nt
Filed under: Neumania distincta
Lineage: Eukaryota; Metazoa; Arthropoda; Arachnida; Trombidiformes; Unionicolidae
Description: SSU rRNA
Rfam family: Eukaryotic small subunit ribosomal RNA
Source: RNAcentral